RNAcentral lists this unclassified non-coding RNA (18 nucleotides) under Mus musculus (house mouse). RNAcentral describes it as "oocyte_clustered_small_RNA9712". The record is from RNAcentral. Lineage: Eukaryota; Metazoa; Chordata; Mammalia; Rodentia; Muridae.
AUGGGGGUCUGCCCAAGC